RNAcentral lists this ribosomal RNA (534 nucleotides) under uncultured Pseudomonadota bacterium. RNAcentral's name for it is "bacterial SSU rRNA". It matches the Rfam family "Bacterial small subunit ribosomal RNA", at positions 8 to 564 of the family's 1533-position model. Lineage: Bacteria; Pseudomonadati; Pseudomonadota. The record is from RNAcentral.
AGAGUUUGAUCCUGGCUCAGAACGAACGCUGGCGGCAGGCUUAGCACAUGCAAGUCGAGCGAACUGAUGGACUUCGGUCCUGAGGUUAGCGGCGGACGGGUGAGUAACGCGUGGGAACGUGCCCUUAGGUACGGAAUAACAGUUGGAAACGACUGCUAAUACCGUAUGACGUCUCUGGUUUCGGCCGGGGACCAAAGAUUUACCGCCUAGGGAUCGGCCCGCGUUGGAUUAGGUAGUUGGUGGGGUAAUGGCCUACCAAGCCGACGAUCCAUAGCUGGUUUGAGAGGAUGAUCAGCCACACUGGGACUGAGACACGGCCCAGACUCCUACGGGAGGCAGCAGUGGGGAAUCUUGGACAAUGGGGGCAACCCUGAUCCAGCCAUGCCGCGUGAACGAUGAAGGCCUUAGGGUUGUAAAGUUCUUUCAGCAGGGAAGAUAAUGACGGUACCUGCAGAAGAAGCCCCGGCUAACUCCGUGCCAGCAGCCGCGGUAAUACGGAGGGGGCUAGCGUUGUUCGGAAUUACUGGGCGUAAA